This 196-nucleotide ribosomal RNA is filed under the name uncultured bacterium. RNAcentral's name for it is "partial 16S ribosomal RNA". It matches the Rfam family "Bacterial small subunit ribosomal RNA", at positions 1306 to 1500 of the family's 1533-position model. The record is from RNAcentral.
UGCAACUCGACUGCAUGAAGCCGGAAUCGCUAGUAAUCGCGGAUCAGAAUGCCGCGGUGGAUACGUUCCCGGGUCUUGUACACACCGCCCGUCACACCAUGGGAGUCGGAAAUGCCCGAAGCCGGUGGCCUAACCGAUAAGGGAGGAGCCGUCGAAGGCAAGUCUGAUGACUGGGGUGAAGUCGUAACAAGGUACC